RNAcentral lists this ribosomal RNA (546 nucleotides) under uncultured Ruegeria sp. Its description in RNAcentral is "bacterial SSU rRNA". It matches the Rfam family "Bacterial small subunit ribosomal RNA", at positions 76 to 660 of the family's 1533-position model. The record is from RNAcentral. Lineage: Bacteria; Pseudomonadati; Pseudomonadota; Alphaproteobacteria; Rhodobacterales; Roseobacteraceae.
UCGAGCGCGCUUCGGGUCAGCGCGUACGGGUAGUACGCGUGGGAACGUGCCCAUCUCUACGGAAUAGCCUCUGGAAACGGAGAGUAAUACCGUAUACGCCCUUUGGGGGAAAGAUUUAUCGGAGAAGGAUCGGCCCGCGUUAGAUUAGGUAGUUGGUGGGGUAACGGCCUACCAAGCCUACGAUCUAUAGCUGGUUUUAGAGGAUGAUCAGCAACACUGGGACUGAGACACGGCCCAGACUCCUACGGGAGGCAGCAGUGGGGAAUCUUAGACAAUGGGGGCAACCCUGAUCUAGCCAUGCCGCGUGAGUGAUGAAGGCCUUAGGGUCGUAAAGCUCUUUCGCCUGUGAUGAUAAUGACAGUAGCAGGUAAAGAAACCCCGGCUAACUCCGUGCCAGCAGCCGCGGUAAUACGGAGGGGGUUAGCGUUGUUCGGAAUUACUGGGCGUAAAGCGCGCGUAGGCGGAUUAGAAAGUUGGGGGUGAAAUCCCGGGGCUCAACCCCGGAACUGCCUCCAAAAAUGCUAGUCUAGAGUACGAGAGAGGUGA